Molecule: long non-coding RNA, 3017 nt
Organism: Oncorhynchus tshawytscha (Chinook salmon)
Lineage: Eukaryota; Metazoa; Chordata; Actinopteri; Salmoniformes; Salmonidae
Source: Ensembl
CCUCUCCCUCAGUAGUUUGCCUGUGUAGACGGUUGAUAGAUUGGUACAUGAUGCCUCUCCCUCAGUAGUUUGCCUGUGUAGACGGUUGAUAGAUUGGUACAUGAUGCCUCUCCCUCAGUAGUUUGCCUGUGUAGAUGGUUGAUAGAUUGGCACAUGAUGCCUCUCCCUCAGUAGUUUGCCUGUGUAGAUGGUUGAUAGAAAGUUGUACUAAAUUAAUGUCUUCUUCCGUAGCUUGCUUAGCAUGCUCUCCCAUCAAGAAAAUGGAGUGUGGUGUGUGAAGAUGUGAUGUGUGAAGAUUUGAGGACGGGAAUUGGUGUGAAGAUUUGAGGACGGGAAUUGGUGUGAAGAUUUGAGGACGGGAAUUGGAUAUGUGUACCAAUAUGAAACUCCGGCUGGAUCUGAAAUUGAGGUGUACUCAAACAGUGUUUGUGGAGAUCUUAUGACUCCAAUAGCCUACUGUGGCAUGAACAAGCCUUUUGAGGCACAUCUCUCUGAUAAGGUGAUAAAUGUGAACAACAGUGCUGUCAUCCUCUCUGAAUGCCUGAAUCUGACAUUCACAUUCUUUCAUGUUCUCCAGGGCAAGGUGGAGGAGCGCCAUUUGUAUUACAUUGUUGCAGGGCAAGGUGGAGGAGUGCCAUUUGUAUUACAUUGUUGCAGGUAAAGAAUGAUUUUAGAGAUACUUACUUCCCAUGUGUCUUCUCUUAAGGGCAAGGUGGAAGAGUGCCAUUUGUAUUACAUUGUUGCAGGGCAAGGUGGAGGAGUGCCAUUUGUAUUACAUUGUUGCAGGAAAUGGAGACAAAGCCAAAGCCACUGGCCACACAAAGGAAAUCACUGCUGGUGUUCUUGGUUCUGCUGCUGGGCAUUGCUGGUUUCUUAGUGUACAGAUAUGGCAACAUUCCUUGGAGAGACAAACAUCCAUCGGCUGGGUCGGGACUACCUUAACACCAACAGGGAAAAACAAAGGUGAGUCAGACUCUGUCAACCUGAGGACAGUUUUAGUAGUUACGUGGUUUAAUGUGCUGAAGUGUUUCAUGUUACAUGACUAAAUAUCAGUUAUCAUGCCAGACAACAGCUUAGAGCAGCAAGAAGUAACACGUGUUGUUGUUUUAACUUCUCUAAGGGACAACGGAGAACCUGAUCCAGCUGCUGGGGACGCCGAGUCUCUCCGAUAUGCGCUUGUCUAUAAUCUAUAACUGCAUGUGUCCCUUUGAACCAUCAGGGACCAGGGGGAUGGGGUGGAAGAGGAGAGGGAGCCACCACACAGUCAGGAGACACAUGUUGAGUCCUCUCUGCUGAAUGGGCAUCUUGUGAACAGGUUAACCUUUCUCUGAGAAAGACCCUCAUUACUUCAUUACCGGUUGGGUUUCAUUAUCCUCAGUCAGAGCUGAUCCCAUGAGUCAUUGAUCCCACAGGUUUAAUAGAAAGACCCGUUUGUUUAACACGUGCUCCUUAUAUUCUAAUACCUGUAAUACCUAAUGAGCAUGGUAAAUGCUCAUGCAAGGAGAGAGAGGUGAGCCCAUUCAGCCAAUGGGCCGUGAGGGAACAGAUACUGAAUUCUCUCAGAAGAGAAAUGCUGGAUUUCAUUUUGAGACAGUUUGCUACAGCAGGAAAAUAAUCCUGCAGCAACAGGAAAUGUGAAUUGUUACGUGAGUUGAUAGAUUUUUCAUUAGGGCAAAUCAAAUCGGUCAUUUUAAGGUAGAAAUUACCAACUUUCAAUGCCCUUUUAAACUUUGAAUACACUACAGGUUUGCAUUUCCUGCUGUGCAGGAAAAUGCUCAGCAACCAAAGAGUGAUCAAUUUAAGAUCGUACCUCUGUAAUCUCACAAUGGGGCAUGUAAUAACGUUUGUCUUGUGGUGGAUCAAUGAUGAUGUCAGGUAAACUUCACUACAUAUUGAUACAUCCACAACUCAUUGGUAUAAUGUCACCAACCCCAUUUUCCCACGGUUCCUCUGUCUGUUUAGGGGACAGUAUUGUGGUGGAUCAUGAAUGUGAAUGUUGAUGUCUUAUUACUCCAACAGGGUUAACGAUGAGACUAAGGAAGCGACUCCUGGUGCACAGAGUCCAGGACCUCCUCAGACGAAUGGAGGACCUCCCAUGUCUGACAGGUUGGAGAACAACCCUGUUGGUCAGUGGAUGAAGAAAACUGCUCUGGUGAACAAGCAGGACCAGGACUGGUCAGCAACGGCAUGAAGCCAGUUGAAAAUAUAUAGCAUAUAAGAUGAAACUAAGUGUAAAUAUAAUAAAAAAUAACAUGAUAUACACUGUAAUAUAGAACAGUAUAAUAUAAUAUGACAUGAUAUAAUAUCGUAACACUUACUUGUAUAGUGUUAUAUAUUCUAAUGAAUGCAUUCUUAACAACAUGAAUGAUGCAUUAAUGCAUACAUAGGACAUAACUGUAUAGUAAAAUUAUAAUAUAAUACUGUGCUGGUAAGCUGCUAGCUGUGGGGUUGCCCCCAGCUGUGGUUUCUAUUAUUCAGAGUAUCUAAGCUCAACUUCAAAUCCAUAGUUUUUAGCUUAGUUCUUACCGUAAACUAGCACUUCUUAGAGACAAAGUUAUGGGACAUGCUGUAUAACUACUUACCAUUCUGAAGUGUAACAGUCAAGUUUAUAUGUAACAAUUGUUCAUCCCUUUUUUAAAUGUUUAUUUAUAUAUUUGUUUGCUUGAUUAGAUUGAAUUAGUAUGACUAAUGCAUUAUUUUACCCUCCCGUAUAGAGGGACAUUAUUUUACCCUCCUGUAUAGAGGGACAUUAUUUUACCCUCCUGUAUAGAGGGACAUUAUUUUACCCUCCUGUAUAGAGGGACAUUAUUUUACCCUCCCAUAUAGAGGGACAUUAUUUUACCCUCCCGUAUAGAGGGACAUUAUUUUACCCUCCCGUAUAGAGGGACAUUAUUUUACCCUCCCGUAUAGAGGGACAUUAUUUUACCCUCCCGUAUAGAGGGACAUUAUUUUACCCUCCCGUAUAGAGGGACAUUAUUUUACCCUCCUGUAUAGAGGGACAUUAUGUUACCCUCCUG